Molecule: unclassified non-coding RNA, 229 nt
Filed under: Hevea brasiliensis (rubber tree)
Lineage: Eukaryota; Viridiplantae; Streptophyta; Magnoliopsida; Malpighiales; Euphorbiaceae
Source: RNAcentral
CUCAAUUUGUCUCUGCUGCUCCUUGCACGAUCGAGCAACAACUUCAUGCACCGUAUCGCUUGAAUGGAGUUUCUGAAGAACAGCAGAAAGGUGCCUAGGUUGCUGAUUCACAACUUGAAGUGGCCAACUAUCUGGCCCAACAGCUGGUUGAGAAGCGCCAUCUGCAAAAUCUGGACUAAUUGCUUCUUCAAAAUUCUUGAAGUGGUCAUUUCCACCGGGUUGCAGGCGG